This 253-nucleotide ribosomal RNA is filed under the name uncultured bacterium. RNAcentral's name for it is "partial 16S ribosomal RNA". It matches the Rfam family "Bacterial small subunit ribosomal RNA", at positions 524 to 776 of the family's 1533-position model. The record is from RNAcentral.
GACGAACCGUGCGAACGUUGUUCGGAUUCACUGGGCUUAAAGGGCGCGUAGGCGGGUCAUCAAGUCAGGAGGGAAAUCCUUCGGCUCAACCGGAGAAGCGCUUUUGAUACUGGUGAUCUCGAGGGGUGUAGGGGCAUGUGGAACUUCCGGUGGAGCGGUGAAAUGCGUAGAUAUCGGAAGGAACGCCGGUGGCGAAAGCGACGUGCUGGACACCUUCUGACGCUGAGGCGCGAAAGCCAGGGGAGCAAACGGG